This 253-nucleotide ribosomal RNA is filed under the name uncultured bacterium. RNAcentral describes it as "partial 16S ribosomal RNA". It matches the Rfam family "Bacterial small subunit ribosomal RNA", at positions 524 to 776 of the family's 1533-position model. The record is from RNAcentral.
GACGAACCGUGCGAACGUUAUUCGGAAUCACUGGGCUUAAAGGGCGCGUAGGCGGGCUGACAAGUCUGGGGUGAAAUCCCGCGGCUCAACCGUGGAACUGCCUCAGAUACUGUCGGCCUCGAGGAAGGUAGGGGCAUGCGGAACUGUAGGUGGAGCGGUGAAAUGCGUUGAUAUCUACAGGAACUCCGGUGGCGAAAGCGGCGUGCUGGACCUUUUCUGACGCUGAGGCGCGAAAGCUAGGGGAGCAAACGGG